GAGUGGGAGUGCCUUCCACCCCCUCCCAACCAAAGGACUUUGGUUGAAGGAGAGAAAGAGAAUGACACUGGGGUUCACGGCAAGGUCUCCUGUCCACGUGGUGAUGUGGCUGCAGAGGCUUCCGGUGGGAACACAUGGACUUCCCACCCCCGUGCUCCAUCUGCCCACACUCGGUCAUAUCUUUGCUACCUUCCUGGCAUCUGAAGGGUCUAGGAGUCUGAAUGCCAUUAGUCACCACACUGCCAGGCAUCUACGUGGAUACAGACAUAGGAGGGACUCUCAGGGGAGAGCUAGCAACCAAAACACCCCACACCAUGGCUUGCUGGUGAGUCCCGUCACCUGCACCCAGCAGGAACCUUUAUGACCCCUGUGACCAGCCUAUCCUUCAGGUCUGUCCAGUUCUCAGACCCUUGCCCACCUGACCUGGACCAGCUCUCCUUCAAAAGGAUGCUGACUCAUAACAGAGGCAGACGGUUACAUUUUCCCAGCAUAAAGGACACUGCUUUCUCUUAGAAAACAUAAUUUUGGUUCCUGAAUCUGAUUAUAAAUGAGGAAACUCCAUCACCAUGGAUGCACUGUGGCUCCCUGUGCAGAGUGGGGAGCCCUGUAGCAGAUUUUCUUCACAUGUCAUAACAGGGACAAAAGGGCUCCAAGCUCAGCAGUGAAAAGAGAUGCUGCCCUUAAU
Molecule: long non-coding RNA, 685 nt
Organism: Bos taurus (domestic cattle)
Lineage: Eukaryota; Metazoa; Chordata; Mammalia; Artiodactyla; Bovidae
Source: Ensembl